UGGGGAAUUUUGGACGAAUUGGGCGAAAGCCUGAUCCAGCAAUGCCGCGUGUGUGAAGAAGGCCUUCGGGUUGUAAAGCACUUUUGUCCGGAAAGAAAUCCUUGGCUCUAAUACAGUCGGGGGAUGACGGUACCGGAAGAAUAAGCACCGGCUAACUACGUGCCAGCAGCCGCGGUAAUACGUAGGGUGCAAGCGUUAAUCGGAAUUACUGGGCGUAAAGCGUGCGCAGGCGGUUUGCUAAGACCGAUGUGAAAUCCCCGGGCUCAACCUGGGAACUGCAUUGGUGACUGGCAGGCUAGAGUAUAGCAGAGGGGGGUUAGAAUUCCCACGUGUAGCAGUGAAAUGCGUAGAGAUGUGGAGGAAUACCGAUGGCGAAGGCAGCCCCCUGGGCCAAGUACUGACGCUCAUGCACG
This 413-nucleotide ribosomal RNA is filed under the name uncultured bacterium. Its description in RNAcentral is "partial 16S ribosomal RNA". It matches the Rfam family "Bacterial small subunit ribosomal RNA", at positions 355 to 755 of the family's 1533-position model. The record is from RNAcentral.